Molecule: small RNA, 316 nt
Filed under: Homo sapiens (human)
Lineage: Eukaryota; Metazoa; Chordata; Mammalia; Primates; Hominidae
Description: Metazoan signal recognition particle RNA (ENSG00000277039.1)
Source: RNAcentral
GCCAGGCGUGGUGGCACACGCCUGUAAUCCCAGCUACUCAGGAGGCUGAGACAGGAGAAUGGCUUGAACCCGGGAGGCGGGAGAUUGCAGUGAGCCGAGAUCAUGCCAUUGCACUCCAGCCAAGAUGACACAGUGAGACUCCAGAUUUGGUGGUGCACACGUGUGGUCUCAGCUAUUUGGAAGUGCACACGUGUGGUCUCAGCUAUUUGGAAGACUGAAGCUAGAGGAUCACAUGAGCCCAGGGGUUGGAGGCUGCAGUGAGCUAUGAUCACACCACUGCACUCCAACCUGGGUGACAGAGCAAGACCCUGUCUCA